Molecule: unclassified non-coding RNA, 237 nt
Filed under: Rhizophagus sp. (in: glomeromycetes)
Lineage: Eukaryota; Fungi; Glomeromycota; Glomeromycetes; Glomerales; Glomeraceae
Description: partial contains 5.8S ribosomal RNA and internal transcribed spacer 2
Rfam family: 5.8S ribosomal RNA (bases 1-71)
Source: RNAcentral
GUGAAUCAUCGAAUUUUUGAACGCAAAUUGCGCUUCCUAGCAUCCCGGGGAGUGUGCCUGUUUGAGGGUCAGUAUUAACAAAAAAAUCGGUUUGGUUGCAAAUUGUGACGUUUCCGGAUUUUGGGCUAUCUUAACUUUUGGGGUUAAGGGGCUUAAAAUUGACCUUUUUUGCGCAUUUUUAGACGUACAUAAAUUUUUUUUUGUUUGUUGAUGUGUGAUGUCAAAAUCUUAUUUAUU